GCCGGAUUUAUACUAGCUAUAGAAUUGGAUAGAAAUGAUAGAAUGUUUAGAUUUGGAGACAGUUUUUUUUCCAACUCACUUGUGCAAUGCUAACGAGCUGUUGCGUGUUUGCAUGUGCAUAAAGUUUGGAUUUGGAGACGGGGGUGUUUACACUAUGCCAACAAGCUGUCCCGUUUUUUACCCAGAUGUAAAUACAUGACUGACCGAUUUAAAAUGAGACAGUGUUCACAAUUCGGACUUUUAAUCGUGGCAGACAAGUGCCACAUUAUUGGUGGGGGGCAACAUUUUUUGUGGUAAUAGUUAAAGAAAUUCAUCUUUAAAUUCCGGCUGAUGAGCUUUGACACAGUACAAAAUAAGCACUGCUAUAUUCAUGUAGGCUUCUGUGAUCACAGCCAGUGUCUUGUUGUUGUUUUCACCUGUUCUUCAAUAAAAGCUCAAUUAUCAUCGCAAGAGUAUAUAUAUAUAAAAAAAAACAUUUGUAGUUUUGUGAUUUAAUUUCAGCCAGUUAAAAUAUCUAAUCCAUGUUUUUAUUCAUUUUCUAGCAAUCACUGAGGCAUGGCAUCCUCCAAAGGCUGUAUCACUGACUGUCCAGCAUCUUGGAGAGACAGCACGUGGAUAUGGCUAUCGUCCCUCUGCUGACUGAUGGUGACAUGGAAGCUGCAGUAGCAGCUCUGACCAUAGAAGAUGUUGCCGAUAUUGAUCAUCGUGAAACUUUUGCUUUGGUUGUCACAGCUUGUGCCGUCCUCCACAAUAUCCAACACCGAGGCCCCAGAGGAUGAUGUGGAGGAAGCUGGUUUGAAGGUCACCAGCGGUGCUUUCUGGCAGGACCAACUACCUACUGUUUCUGCCCUGUGGGAGGUACCACCUGACUUGAUUACUUUUAUCAGCAUCCGUCCACAGCCAACCCUGUAAACCCUGAAGAUGGACGAUGCAGUCUACAGUGAAGAUGAUCCUGAAACUCUGCAGACCAUCCUGCAAGAUGUUCCAAUCACCACCCAGAAAGUUCCAUCCCCGCGUCUCAGUUGAAGCAUCUCAUCCAUGUCGACCAUCUUUGCAAAUAGUGUUACAAUGAAUGACGAUUACUGUGUUGGAUUUAUACCUUUAUUUGUAUUAAAAAAGCAAACAUUUUAAUACAUCAAAUAUAAACUUCAUUUAUUCUCAGAAAUCAAA
Molecule: long non-coding RNA, 1170 nt
Organism: Oryzias melastigma (Indian medaka)
Lineage: Eukaryota; Metazoa; Chordata; Actinopteri; Beloniformes; Adrianichthyidae
Exons: 3
Source: RefSeq, a predicted model, not a curated record